AAAGUUCUGCAUACUUAAAGUGAUUCAGAUUCAGCUACCGUGACGAUUGCUUGGGAAGCAUUGUUUAGUGCGAUAAGUUCAGUUCCUAAAGGAGUUCUUCCUUCGUAUAUAAAGUUGGUUCAGAUCAGUAUCAAUGUUUUUCCCAUGAGCUUGAAAGUGUAUUCUGUUCAUUUGGUUCUAUGUGCAUUAACCAGUUUUUAACUGUGAUUUAGGAUGCGGAGAGUAGCAUAUUCCAUGAAGUUGAUUGGCAUCGAAUUGAACUGGAUGAAGCACUCACCAUAAAAUCCUGGAGAACUGUGAGUGCUAGGGCUGCAUUCACAUUGUCUGCACAUUGCAGGUGGUGUCUCACUGGUAUGGACUUCAGAAUAAUUUGCAAGAUCUUUACAGCCUUCUGUGUUUCUUGCAUGUUGAGCCAUGGUGCAAUUGGGCAUGGUGGAAUAAGUUAAUACAGAGACCUUAUGAGAAUGGUGAUCAGAGAGCAUUGAAACUGAUCAAGGCAAUUCUUAGGCCACUAAUGCUUAUGAGAACAAAGGAAACAAAGGACAAGGAAGGGAGCUCAAUUAGUCCAAUUCUUGUCCUGCCACCAACUGACAUCCAAGUCAUUGAGUGUGAACAGUCGGAAGCAGAGCGUGAUUUCUAUGAUGCCCUCUACAAGAAAUCUAAAGUAAGAUUUGCAGCCCCAGCAAGUUUGUUUGGUUUCCCAUUUUCUCAUGCUCUUUAAAUACCCUCCAAGAAAGCUCUGAUUUGUGUGUGUGUUAGAAGUAAUAGCAUUUUCAAGGGUUCUUUCAGAUUAUUCAGACAUGUGGUUCGAAAUCUGAUAUGCAUUUUUGGGACUGGGAACUGACAGUUUGUUGUCGAUGAACCAUGUAGCACAAGGCAAAGUUCUUCACAACUUUGCAAACAUUCUCCAUCCUUUUCUUGUGAUGAGGUGAAAUGCCAUUAGAGCUUUACUGUGCAUGUCUCUAUAAUGAAA
Ipomoea nil (Japanese morning glory) is the source of this 973-nucleotide long non-coding RNA. RefSeq lists it as uncharacterized. The record is from RefSeq and is a predicted model, not a curated record. Lineage: Eukaryota; Viridiplantae; Streptophyta; Magnoliopsida; Solanales; Convolvulaceae. The transcript has 5 exons.